This is a long non-coding RNA of Apis dorsata (giant honeybee), 446 nucleotides long. RefSeq lists it as uncharacterized. The record is from RefSeq and is a predicted model, not a curated record. Lineage: Eukaryota; Metazoa; Arthropoda; Insecta; Hymenoptera; Apidae. The transcript is spliced from 3 exons.
AAUAUUUUUUUUUUUUUUUCAGAAAAAUUAAAUUUUUUAAACAAAAUCGAGCACAAAGUUAUUAGGGUUAAUAGUUGAAAAAUUAUUGAGCAUGUGACUUCUCAAGAUUACGAUAAUGACGUGAAUUCACAAUGACAGCGCAUGCUUGAUAUCGACUUGUAGCAGCAACAGUUUCGUAAAACGCAGUCAUAGCCGCAGUAGCGACAGCAAUAGAGAAUCACGAAAUAGAGAGGGAAACAGAAACACUGUGAUAGUGGUCCGUUUGGACAACGCAUUGAAUUCGAGACGCCGCUUGUUGCAUUCGUGAUAUUGUAAACAAUUGGAGAUGUUCAAGAGAGUGGCACUCUGCACGCCACCCUUCCGUUCUGCGGCAUGAAUUCCGUGGUGGAGGAAUUUUGGAACGCUUCCAGGAGACUUUAUCUUCGCGAUAUUUUUUUUAAUAUCCC